UUUAUGUGUAUCUUCCUUAGAGAUCAUAUUUAUGGUUUGCAAAAUGAUUGCCUCACAACAGCCCUAUGAGGUAGGCACUGCAAUGAUUGUUAUCCCAGCAGAGCAGACAGGGAGGACCACUGAGGCUGAGAGAAGUGAAGUGAAAGGGUUCAAGUUCUAGGAGGAACUCUCCACUUGGAGGAGAACUUUCCAGGAUGAGAAGACUAUAUGGAAUAGAGAAGUGAAAAGGGGAGUUGAAGUAGCAUCUCUAAUGAAAAUUACAUGAAGCUGAGGAGCAGCAGGUGGCAGUAGUGAGAAUUGCCUAGCAGGAGAGAGCAGCUGAGAUAUAAUGUCUGAACGGGGCAGCUCAACAGAGAGGAGGGCAUUACCAGUAAACAAGCGUGUCCCUGCAUCAUUGGAGAAAAAAAUGAAUGAAGAUUUUAGUCAGAGCUCUGACCACAACUCCAGUCCAAACAAGAAAACCAUCCAGAGUCUGAAAAAUUCGGGAAAGGAGCAAACCUUCAGGGACCGGAGGCAGAAGGAAAAAUUGAGAGAUAACUUCCUGUGGCAGAACGAAUGGUGGGGGGAAAACAGGCUCUGCACAUUUCUCCCCCCUGUGCUUGGGCCCUGUCUCUGUGGAUGCAGCUUAAGAACGAAAUUAGUGCUUCACCCUCGGCCCCCAACACUUCCCAGGCAGACUGCCCCAAAGCUUCCAUAUUUACUAUCCAAGAGAGAGUCAACACCAUCAAUGGCCUGGUCUCAAACACGUCCUACUUCUCCUUCAUCUUUACACCCAACCUCCCCGACUGGUCUCCAGCCUACCAGUCACCCUCUGCAACCCCGGCAACUGGUCCCUUUAGGUAUUUGGCCCCAAGGUUUUAUCAUGGCUCCUCCCAAGAACAGGCCUCCCAGAAGCCAUUCCCACUUUCCUUAGGGAGGUACCCCAUUCCCUCAAGGAGAAUGAUAACUCCCUAAUCCAUUUAUAUUAAUAAUAAAAUGUAUAUUAAAAAUAAAUAUAUAUUUA
Long non-coding RNA from Sarcophilus harrisii (Tasmanian devil), 1003 nucleotides. The record is from Ensembl. NCBI's taxonomy places the organism in Eukaryota, Metazoa, Chordata, Mammalia, Dasyuromorphia, Dasyuridae.